This 843-nucleotide ribosomal RNA is filed under the name Salmonella enterica. RNAcentral describes it as "partial 23S ribosomal RNA". It matches the Rfam family "Bacterial large subunit ribosomal RNA", at positions 711 to 1554 of the family's 2925-position model. The record is from RNAcentral. Lineage: Bacteria; Pseudomonadati; Pseudomonadota; Gammaproteobacteria; Enterobacterales; Enterobacteriaceae.
AGACCCGAAACCCGGUGAUCUAGCCAUGGGCAGGUUGAAGGUUGGGUAACACUAACUGGAGGACCGAACCGACUAAUGUUGAAAAAUUAGCGGAUGACCUGUGGCUGGGGGUGAAAGGCCAAUCAAACCGGGAGAUAGCUGGUUCUCCCCGAAAGCUAUUUAGGUAGCGCCUCGUGAAUUCAUCUCCGGGGGUAGAGCACUGUUUCGGCUAGGGGGCCAUCCCGGCUUACCAACCCGAUGCAAACUGCGAAUACCGGAGAAUGUUAUCACGGGAGACACACGGCGGGUGCUAACGUCCGUCGUGAAGAGGGAAACAACCCAGACCGCCAGCUAAGGUCCCAAAGUCAUGGUUAAGUGGGAAACGAUGUGGGAAGGCACAGACAGCCAGGAUGUUGGCUUAGAAGCAGCCAUCAUUUAAAGAAAGCGUAAUAGCUCACUGGUCGAGUCGGCCUGCGCGGAAGAUGUAACGGGGCUAAACCAUGCACCGAAGCUGCGGCAGCGACGUUUAUGCGUUGUUGGGUAGGGGAGCGUUCUGUAAGCCUGCGAAGGUGGCCUGUGAGGGUUGCUGGAGGUAUCAGAAGUGCGAAUGCUGACAUAAGUAACGAUAAAGCGGGUGAAAAGCCCGCUCGCCGGAAGACCAAGGGUUCCUGUCCAACGUUAAUCGGGGCAGGGUGAGUCGACCCCUAAGGCGAGGCCGAAAGGCGUAGUCGAUGGGAAACGGGUUAAUAUUCCCGUACUUGGUGUUACUGCGAAGGGGGGACGGAGAAGGCUAUGUUGGCCGGGCGACGGUUGUCCCGGUUUAAGCGUGUAGGCUGGUUUUCCAGGCAAAUCCGGAAAAUCAAG